Long non-coding RNA from Poecilia latipinna (sailfin molly), 1054 nucleotides. RefSeq lists it as uncharacterized. The record is from RefSeq and is a predicted model, not a curated record. The transcript is spliced from 3 exons. Lineage: Eukaryota; Metazoa; Chordata; Actinopteri; Cyprinodontiformes; Poeciliidae.
AGGCCUCUCAGCGCGUUGAGCAGUAAAAUCAGACCAGCUCCAACGGUCCUUCCUCUUCCCAAGCUGCAGCGAUGGGGAAACUUUCACAGAUUUUCCCUGCAGGUUCUGAUCCCGGUUCUGCUGCUGUGACCAGAACCAGUUCCGGAUGUUUGGUCCAGUUUCCUGACGUGCAGAAACCUCUGGUUUGUUUUCUCCCAGAUUUCUGCCUGCAGCUCCAGGCUGACUCACCCGUUCAUUAUUAACUGUGCUGUCGCUACGGCGACGACACGGUCGUGCCCUUGCCGUCGUCUUCCCACCCUGGCGCCCAGACAGGAGGCACCCAUGUCAUCUGCAGGAUUUCUGCUGCUGUUUUCAUCCAGUUUUGUUCUCUGCUGCUAAAUGAGGCGCAGCUGAGACUAAAAUUAGAAACUUUAUUCACAUCAGUUCAUUAAAAAUCUGCAGACUGAACAUCUGACUGAUGUCCAGGAUUUUACCAGUGAAACUUUUCUGGUCCAGUUCCACUUUGAAAAGAAUAAUAUUCAGGAACUGAACUAAAAUAUCCAAAUCUAACUAAUAUAAAUACAUUUUAAUGAAUUAGUUCUUAAUCCAAGCUGGAUUUACACCACUUGUUUUAGUUUCCACAACUAAACAGAGUUUUAUUUAUUUCCUGAUAUCCAGGGCUAUGAUAGUUUUUGGCUUUUCUUUAUAGUUUAGUUUUACUUUGUUUGUGUUAUUCAGUUAGUUUUAAGUAGUUUUAACGUGUUUUAAUUAGGUAGUAAAUAUUAUUAAGUGUUUAUUUGUAGUAAUAGUUUUAGUUUUUUCAUACUUUGGUUCAUUUUUAGGUGCAGAAUGUAAAAAGAUUAAAUGGUUAUAUUGUGUUUAUGUUUUAUUGGAGAAUGAUGGCAUUUUUUCCCAACUUCCUCUGCCGCCAUUUUGUUGUCCGGCCACCAGGAGGCGUAUGAAGUGCCGUAAUUUGCUGACUGCUGACGUAAACUGGUUGUGUGGUAAAAAAUAAAUCAUUUCAUAUCAGUUCAGAAGUCUAAUGAGUAGAAUAAUAAACACGAAAUCAUAUCUA